UGGGGAAUUUUGGACAAUGGGCGAAAGCCUGAUCCAGCAAUGCCGCGUGUGUGAAGAAGGCCUUCGGGUUGUAAAGCACUUUUGUCCGGAAAGAAAUCCUUGGCUCUAAUACAGUCGGGGGAUGACGGUACCGGAAGAAUAAGCACCGGCUAACUACGUGCCAGCAGCCGCGGUAAUACGUAGGGUGCAAGCGUUAAUCGGAAUUACUGGGCGUAAAGCGUGCGCAGGCGGUUUGCUAAGACCGAUGUGAAAUCCCCGGGCUCAACCUGGGAGCUGCAUUGGUGACUGGCAGGCUAGAGUAUGGCAGAGGGGGGUAGAAUUCCACGUGUAGCAGUGAAAUGCGUAGAGAUGUGGAGGAAUACCGAUGGCGAAGGCAGCCCCCUGGGCCAAUACUGACGCUCAUGCACGAAAGCGUGGGGAGCAAACAGGAUUAGAUACCCUGGGUAGUCCACGCCCUAAACGAUGUCAACUAGUUGUUGGGGAUUCAUUUCCUUAGUAACGUAGCUAACGCGUGAAGUUGACCGCCUGGGGAGUACGGUCGCAAGAUUAAAACUUAAAUGAAUUGACGGGGU
This 572-nucleotide ribosomal RNA is filed under the name uncultured bacterium. Its description in RNAcentral is "partial 16S ribosomal RNA". It matches the Rfam family "Bacterial small subunit ribosomal RNA", at positions 355 to 919 of the family's 1533-position model. The record is from RNAcentral.